Molecule: ribosomal RNA, 485 nt
Filed under: uncultured bacterium
Lineage: Bacteria
Description: partial 16S ribosomal RNA
Rfam family: Bacterial small subunit ribosomal RNA
Source: RNAcentral
AUUGAACGCUGGCGGCAGGCUUAACACAUGCAAGUCGAGCGGGGAAAGGUAGCUUGCUACCUGACCUAGCGGCGGACGGGUGAGUAAUGCUUAGGAAUCUGCCUAUUAGUGGGGGACAACAUCUCGAAAGGGAUGCUAAUACCGCAUACGUCCUACGGGAGAAAGCAGGGGACCUUCGGGCCUUGCGCUAAUAGAUGAGCCUAAGUCGGAUUAGCUAGUUGGUGGGGUAAAGGCCUACCAAGGCGACGAUCUGUAGCGGGUCUGAGAGGAUGAUCCGCCACACUGGGACUGAGACACGGCCCAGACUCCUACGGGAGGCAGCAGUAGGGAAUAUUGGACAAUGGGGGGAACACUGAUCCAGCCAUGCCGCGUGUGUGAAGAAGGCCUUUUGGUUGUAAAGCACUUUAAGCGAGGAGGAGGCUACCGAGAUUAAUACUCUUGGAUAGUGGACGUUACUCGCAGAAUAAGCACCGGCUAACUAUGUG